This is a non-coding RNA of Phrynosoma platyrhinos (Desert horned lizard), 73 nucleotides long. The record is from the annotation of a GenBank genome assembly. Lineage: Eukaryota; Metazoa; Chordata; Lepidosauria; Squamata; Phrynosomatidae.
GCAAGUGUGGCGUAGUGGUUUUGAGUACUGGACUACGGCUCUGGAGAUCAGGGUUCAAUUCCCAGCUCAGACA